Molecule: ribosomal RNA, 2893 nt
Filed under: Escherichia coli
Lineage: Bacteria; Pseudomonadati; Pseudomonadota; Gammaproteobacteria; Enterobacterales; Enterobacteriaceae
Description: bacterial LSU rRNA
Rfam family: Bacterial large subunit ribosomal RNA
Source: RNAcentral
ACUAAGCGUACACGGUGGAUGCCCUGGCAGUCAGAGGCGAUGAAGGACGUGCUAAUCUGCGAUAAGCGUCGGUAAGGUGAUAUGAACCGUUAUAACCGGCGAUUUCCGAAUGGGGAAACCCAGUGUGUUUCGACACACUAUCAUUAACUGAAUCCAUAGGUUAAUGAGGCGAACCGGGGGAACUGAAACAUCUAAGUACCCCGAGGAAAAGAAAUCAACCGAGAUUCCCCCAGUAGCGGCGAGCGAACGGGGAGGAGCCCAGAGCCUGAAUCAGUGUGUGUGUUAGUGGAAGCGUCUGGAAAGGCGCGCGAUACAGGGUGACAGCCCCGUACACAAAAAUGCACAUGCUGUGAGCUCGAUGAGUAGGGCGGGACACGUGGUAUCCUGUCUGAAUAUGGGGGGACCAUCCUCCAAGGCUAAAUACUCCUGACUGACCGAUAGUGAACCAGUACCGUGAGGGAAAGGCGAAAAGAACCCCGGCGAGGGGAGUGAAAAAGAACCUGAAACCGUGUACGUACAAGCAGUGGGAGCACGCUUAGGCGUGUGACUGCGUACCUUUUGUAUAAUGGGUCAGCGACUUAUAUUCUGUAGCAAGGUUAACCGAAUAGGGGAGCCGAAGGGAAACCGAGUCUUAACUGGGCGUUAAGUUGCAGGGUAUAGACCCGAAACCCGGUGAUCUAGCCAUGGGCAGGUUGAAGGUUGGGUAACACUAACUGGAGGACCGAACCGACUAAUGUUGAAAAAUUAGCGGAUGACUUGUGGCUGGGGGUGAAAGGCCAAUCAAACCGGGAGAUAGCUGGUUCUCCCCGAAAGCUAUUUAGGUAGCGCCUCGUGAAUUCAUCUCCGGGGGUAGAGCACUGUUUCGGCAAGGGGGUCAUCCCGACUUACCAACCCGAUGCAAACUGCGAAUACCGGAGAAUGUUAUCACGGGAGACACACGGCGGGUGCUAACGUCCGUCGUGAAGAGGGAAACAACCCAGACCGCCAGCUAAGGUCCCAAAGUCAUGGUUAAGUGGGAAACGAUGUGGGAAGGCCCAGACAGCCAGGAUGUUGGCUUAGAAGCAGCCAUCAUUUAAAGAAAGCGUAAUAGCUCACUGGUCGAGUCGGCCUGCGCGGAAGAUGUAACGGGGCUAAACCAUGCACCGAAGCUGCGGCAGCGACGCUGAUGCGUUGUUGGGUAGGGGAGCGUUCUGUAAGCCUGUGAAGGUGUGCUGUGAGGCAUGCUGGAGGUAUCAGAAGUGCGAAUGCUGACAUAAGUAACGAUAAAGCGGGUGAAAAGCCCGCUCGCCGGAAGACCAAGGGUUCCUGUCCAACGUUAAUCGGGGCAGGGUGAGUCGACCCCUAAGGCGAGGCCGAAAGGCGUAGUCGAUGGGAAACAGGUUAAUAUUCCUGUACUUGGUGUUACUGCGAAGGGGGGACGGAGAAGGCUAUGUUGGCCGGGCGACGGUUGUCCCGGUUUAAGCGUGUAGGCUGGUUUUCCAGGCAAAUCCGGAAAACUAAGGCUGAGGCGUGAUGACGAGGCACUACGGUGCUGAAGCAACAAAUGCCCUGCUUCCAGGAAAAGCCUCUAAGCAUCAGGUAACAUCAAAUCGUACCCCAAACCGACACAGGUGGUCAGGUAGAGAAUACCAAGGCGCUUGAGAGAACUCGGGUGAAGGAACUAGGCAAAAUGGUGCCGUAACUUCGGGAGAAGGCACGCUGAUAUGUAGGUGAAGUCCCUCGCGGAUGGAGCUGAAAUCAGUCGAAGAUACCAGCUGGCUGCAACUGUUUAUUAAAAACACAGCACUGUGCAAACACGAAAGUGGACGUAUACGGUGUGACGCCUGCCCGGUGCCGGAAGGUUAAUUGAUGGGGUCAGCGCAAGCGAAGCUCUUGAUCGAAGCCCCGGUAAACGGCGGCCGUAACUAUAACGGUCCUAAGGUAGCGAAAUUCCUUGUCGGGUAAGUUCCGACCUGCACGAAUGGCGUAAUGAUGGCCAGGCUGUCUCCACCCGAGACUCAGUGAAAUUGAACUCGCUGUGAAGAUGCAGUGUACCCGCGGCAAGACGGAAAGACCCCGUGAACCUUUACUAUAGCUUGACACUGAACAUUGAGCCUUGAUGUGUAGGAUAGGUGGGAGGCUUUGAAGUGUGGACGCCAGUCUGCAUGGAGCCGACCUUGAAAUACCACCCUUUAAUGUUUGAUGUUCUAACGUUGACCCGUAAUCCGGGUUGCGGACAGUGUCUGGUGGGUAGUUUGACUGGGGCGGUCUCCUCCUAAAGAGUAACGGAGGAGCACGAAGGUUGGCUAAUCCUGGUCGGACAUCAGGAGGUUAGUGCAAUGGCAUAAGCCAGCUUGACUGCGAGCGUGACGGCGCGAGCAGGUGCGAAAGCAGGUCAUAGUGAUCCGGUGGUUCUGAAUGGAAGGGCCAUCGCUCAACGGAUAAAAGGUACUCCGGGGAUAACAGGCUGAUACCGCCCAAGAGUUCAUAUCGACGGCGGUGUUUGGCACCUCGAUGUCGGCUCAUCACAUCCUGGGGCUGAAGUAGGUCCCAAGGGUAUGGCUGUUCGCCAUUUAAAGUGGUACGCGAGCUGGGUUUAGAACGUCGUGAGACAGUUCGGUCCCUAUCUGCCGUGGGCGCUGGAGAACUGAGGGGGGCUGCUCCUAGUACGAGAGGACCGGAGUGGACGCAUCACUGGUGUUCGGGUUGUCAUGCCAAUGGCACUGCCCGGUAGCUAAAUGCGGAAGAGAUAAGUGCUGAAAGCAUCUAAGCACGAAACUUGCCCCGAGAUGAGUUCUCCCUGACUCCUUGAGAGUCCUGAAGGAACGUUGAAGACGACGACGUUGAUAGGCCGGGUGUGUAAGCGCAGCGAUGCGUUGAGCUAACCGGUACUAAUGAACCGUGAGGCUUAACC